Molecule: ribosomal RNA, 253 nt
Filed under: uncultured bacterium
Lineage: Bacteria
Description: partial 16S ribosomal RNA
Rfam family: Bacterial small subunit ribosomal RNA
Source: RNAcentral
UACGGGGGGGGCAAGCGUUGUUCGGAAUUACUGGGCGUAAAGGGCUCGUAGGUGGCCAACUAAGUCAGACGUGAAAUCCCUCGGCUUAACCGGGGAACUGCAUCUGAUACUGGAUGGCUUGAGAUUGGGAGAGGGAUGCGGAAUUCCAGGUGUAGCGGUGAAAUGCGUAGAUAUCUGGAGGAACACCGGUGGCGAAGGCGGCUCUCUGGGCCUUACCUGACGCUGAGGAGCGAAAGCGUGGGUAGCGAACAGG